CAGAGACACACUAAAACACAUGUAAGCCUCUACUGCACGCCAGUGGUCAGAAGAGUGAUAUGCAAACUUAUGGAGAGCUGACGCUGUUGCUUUGACUCGCUCCAAUGACCGACUCAGCCAGGCAUCCUCCUACCUACCCACAAUCCCAUGCUCCCAGCACCUUUCUGCAGAGCUGCCACAAAGAAGAUUAUGUGACAGUUGGCAGCACGCAGGCAAUCUCUCCUACAGUGACAACUCUUUCAUUAUUUCCCCCGUUAGCCGCUCAGUUUUAUACUUGCUGGGAGAAACUUUCUUCCACAGAGCAGAGGAGGGUCUGGCUUCUAUCCAGCUGCUGACAAGAACGUCCUACGGCUGCAGGUGCUGGGCUGAGGUCAAAGGUCAAAAUCAAUCUCCUGCUCGUGAAUACACUCAUGCAAAGGAGCAGGGAUGCGAAGUGUCGACUUCAGCAGGGAUGCCGGCUUAACAGAUAAGUUCAAAUCGAUAUUGGGAUGAUUGGAUUCAGGAACAACUUGGAGCAUGUUCAG
Molecule: long non-coding RNA, 524 nt
Organism: Oreochromis aureus
Lineage: Eukaryota; Metazoa; Chordata; Actinopteri; Cichliformes; Cichlidae
Exons: 3
Source: RefSeq, a predicted model, not a curated record